This 1225-nucleotide long non-coding RNA is filed under the name Carassius auratus (goldfish). RNAcentral's name for it is "lncRNA (ENSCARG00000055127.1)". The record is from RNAcentral. Lineage: Eukaryota; Metazoa; Chordata; Actinopteri; Cypriniformes; Cyprinidae.
AGAUAGACUAGAUAUAUAUAUAGAUAGACAGACAGAUAGAUAGAUACCAUAUAUUCCGGACUAUAAGUCACACUUUUUUUUUCAUGGUUUGGCUGGUCCUGCGACUUAUAGUCAGGUGCAACUUAUUUAUCAAACUUAAUUUGACAUGAACUAAGAGACAUGAACCAAGCUCUCUCGCCUUGGGCACGAAAUAACCUAGAGCCGGCCCUGCUUGGACAUAUUGCUGACGUAUUUUUGGUUUGCAUUGUAGCAUUGCUUCAGUGGGGACAGACUCCACCAGUGUUAUUCCAGAUGCUCAGAGGCUCAACACAUUCUCCAUGAGGAUUUCCCUCAUGUUGACUCAUCAAAUAACAUUCAACUGCCAUCAAGGUAAGAUCAAUCUCUGUUGAAGAUUUCUCUAGGAGGAAUUUGUGUUGGUGAAGUCCUGCAAUAGUGUUUCUGUUUUGGAUGCAGUUAAAAGGCUGAUAAGUAACCUCUGUUAUUCCAUUGUGUAUCUCUCUGUACUACAUUCACAAAUCCUGGUGACCAUAAAAGAGUCAAAAUUGGAAAUGAAUUGGGGGGCACGGACUAAUCUAUUUUUAAGGGACCAAAACAGUUCCCGUAAGUCAACUUGAACUCAAAAUACAAUGGCUGAUUUAGUGUUAAUUGAAGAGGAGGAAAUACAUAGGUAUGUUUUUAAUGAUUGUAAUAAUCCCUUGGAUAUGAUGAAUGGUUGAUGAAAGGCUGAAAAGUAUUAUUAUUAUUAUUAUAACCACUUAUGAAAACAAUAAUUGCCUUUUCGUCCUCUGUCCAGUUUGUUUUGUUAGUUUUUUUUUCUGUUAUGUUUGUACUCUCCAUAGCAAAAAUAUAUUAAUACAAUUGUGAUUUUAGUAAGGGUUUGGCUUUGUGGUUCGUUAUGUUCUGAUUACUGUUAGAGGUAGUAACUAUAGCAGCCGCGGUGAUCUUUGCAGUAUGUCGUCAGAAACUACUGUGAAACGCUUAGCAUAAACACUUAGUGUCAUGAUCCUGGUCUUUUCCCCUGUCUCUGUCUCCCUCUUGUGAUCACUUACUCACUCUAUCACGCACACUCCUCCGCUCAUUAUCACUUUCAGCUGUCUCCCCUUUCAUUCCCUCACCUGUCCCUCUUUUGCCCUUGAUUGUCUCUGCUUCUUAUUCUCUCUUUCUAGCCCUGUCUUAUUGUCGGAUUAUUCGAUCACCUUACAUGAGACACACCUGUUCCCAAGUC